Molecule: unclassified non-coding RNA, 286 nt
Filed under: Basidiomycota sp.
Lineage: Eukaryota; Fungi; Basidiomycota
Description: partial contains small subunit ribosomal RNA, internal transcribed spacer 1, and 5.8S ribosomal RNA
Rfam family: Eukaryotic small subunit ribosomal RNA (bases 1-47)
Source: RNAcentral
AAAGUCGUAACAAGGUUUCCGUAGGUGAACCUGCGGAAGGAUCAUUAUAAAUACUUGGUUUCAUUACCAUACUAUUAAUGUGCAACCAUCUUGCCGGCUGCCAGGUGUAGUAGUACUAAGUCAUAUUGUUUGGCUUAUACUUACCUGGCAGUCAACCAUAAUUACUUACUAUUGAUUAUCAGCCAUAUGUUAUCUGUUAUCAGUACUUGUGUGACCAUGGUCAUGCUUGCACUGCUCUGACUACUAUAAGGGUAAAAAACUUUUAGCAACGGAUCUCUAGGCUCUC